Molecule: ribosomal RNA, 984 nt
Filed under: Boettcheria cimbicis
Lineage: Eukaryota; Metazoa; Arthropoda; Insecta; Diptera; Sarcophagidae
Description: eukaryotic LSU rRNA
Rfam family: Eukaryotic large subunit ribosomal RNA
Source: RNAcentral
GUUCAGCACUAAGUCACUUUGUCUUUAUGGCAAAUGUGAGAUGCAGUGUAUGGAAUGUCAAAUUUCUAGUAUGAGAAAUUAACGAUUUUAAAGUCCUUCUUAAAUGAGGCCAUUUACCCAUAGAGGGUGCCAGGCCCGUAUAACGUUAAUGAUUACUAGAUGGCAUUUCCAAAGAGUCGUGUUGCUUGAUAGUGCAGCACUAAGUGGGUGGUAAACUCCAUCUAAAACUAAAUAUAACCAUGAGACCGAUAGUAAACAAGUACCGUGAGGGAAAGUUGAAAAGAACUCUGAAUAGAGAGUUAAAUAGUACGUGAAACUGCUUAGAGGUUAAGCCCGAUGAACCUGAAUAUCCAUUAUGGAAAAUUCAUCAUCAUGAUUUUAAUAUUUAUAAUAUUAUAAUAAUGGUGUGCAUUUUUUCUAUAACGGACAUUGUAAUCUAUUAACAUAACUAUAUUUAUCAUAAGAUCAAUGAUGCGUAAGUUUAUUCAAAUUAUUUUGCUUGCAAUUUAACAUAGAAUAAAUGCUCUUGAUUUGAUAAAGUGUUGAUAGAUUUAUUGUAUAUAGUGCUUAAAUAUUUAUAUUUUAUAAUAGCAUAUCAAUCAUUGAUUUUUAUGUUUAUUAUAUGCACUUAUAUGAUAACAAUGCGAAAGAUUCAGGAUACCUUCCGGGACCCGUCUUGAAACCCGGACCAAGGAGUCUAACAUAUUUGCAAGUUAUUGGGCGUCAAAACCUAAUAGCGAAAUUAACAUAACUUUUUUAUGGGAUUAGUUUUUGGAUUAUUUAUAGUCUAUUAAUUCAAUCCCGGGGCGUUCUAUAUAGUUAUGUAUAAUAGUAUUUAUAUUAUUUAUACCUCUAACUAGAGCGUACCUUGAGCAUAUAUGCUGUGACCCGAAAGAUGGUGAACUAUACUUGAUCAGGUUGAAGUCAGGGGAAACCCUGAUGGAAGACCGAAACAGUUCUGACGUGCAAAUCGAUUGUCAGAAU